UGGGGAAUUUUGGACAAUGGGCGAAAGCCUGAUCCAGCAAUGCCGCGUGUGUGAAGAAGGCCUUCGGGUUGUAAAGCACUUUUGUCCGGAAAGAAAUCCUUGGCUCUAAUACAGUCGGGGGAUGACGGUACCGGAAGAAUAAGCACCGGCUAACUACGUGCCAGCAGCCGCGGUAAUACGUAGGGUGCAAGCGUUAAUCGGAAUUACUGGGCGUAAAGCGUGCGCAGGCGGUUUACUAAGACCGAUGUGAAAUCCCCGGGCUCAACCUGGGAACUGCAUUGGUGACUGGCAGGCUAGAGUAUGGCAGAGGGGGGUAGAAUUCCACGUGUAGCAGUGAAAUGCGUAGAGAUGUGGAGGAAUACCGAUGGCGAAGGCAGCCCCCUGGGCCAAUACUGACGCUCAUGCACGAAAGCGUGGGGAGCAAACAGGAUUAGAUACCCUGGUAGUCCACGCCCUAAACGAUGUCAACUAGUUGUUGGGGAUUCAUUUCCUUAGUAACGUAGCUAACGCGUGAAGUUGACCGCCUGGGGAGUACGGUCGCAAGAUUAAAACUCAAUGAAUUGACGGGGUCAUAGCUGUUUCCU
Molecule: ribosomal RNA, 584 nt
Filed under: uncultured bacterium
Lineage: Bacteria
Description: partial 16S ribosomal RNA
Rfam family: Bacterial small subunit ribosomal RNA
Source: RNAcentral